UAGAUACCCGGGUAGUCCACGCCGUAAACGAUGAUCACUAAGUGUGGGGGGUCGAACCUCCGUGCUCAAGCUAACGCGAUAAGUGAUCCGCCUGGGGAGUACGCACGCAAGUGUGAAACUCAAAGGAAUUGACGGGGACCCGCACAAGCGGUGGAGCAUGUGGUUUAAUUCGACGCAACGCGAGGAACCUUACCAGCCCUUGACAUCCUCAGAACUUAGCAGAGAUGCUUUGGUGCCACUUCGGUGGAACUGGGUGACAGGUGGUGCAUGGCCGCCGUCAGAAG
RNAcentral lists this ribosomal RNA (284 nucleotides) under uncultured bacterium. Its description in RNAcentral is "partial 16S ribosomal RNA". It matches the Rfam family "Bacterial small subunit ribosomal RNA", at positions 779 to 1061 of the family's 1533-position model. The record is from RNAcentral.